CAGAAGCGGGGGAUAACACCUGGAACAGAUGCUAAUACCGCAUAACAACUUGGACCGCAUGGUCCGAGUUUGAAAGAUGGCUUCGGCUAUCACUUUUGGAUGGUCCCGCGGCGUAUUAGCUAGAUGGUGGGGUAACGGCUCACCAUGGCAAUGAUACGUAGCCGACCUGAGAGGGUAAUCGGCCACAUUGGGACUGAGACACGGCCCAAACUCCUACGGGAGGCAGCAGUAGGGAAUCUUCCACAAUGGACGAAAGUCUGAUGGAGCAACGCCGCGUGAGUGAAGAAGGGUUUCGGCUCGUAAAACUCUGUUGUUAAAGAAGAACAUAUCUGAGAGUAACUGUUCAGGUAUUGACGGUAUUUAACCAGAAAGCCACGGCUAACUACGUGCCAGCAGCCGCGGUAAUACGUAGGUGGCAAGCGUUGUCCGGAUUUAUUGGGCGUAAAGCGAGCGCAGGCGGUUUUUUAAGUCUGAUGUGAAAGCCUUCGGCUCAACCGAAGAAGUGCAUCGGAAACUGGGAAACUUGAGUGCAGAAGAGGACAGUGGAACUCCAUGUGUAGCGGUGAAAUGCGUAGAUAUAUGGAAGAACACCAGUGGCGAAAGCGGCUGUCUGGUCUGUAACUGACGCUGAGGCUCGAAAGUAUGGGUAGCAACAGAUAGAUACCCUGGUAGUCAUACGUAACGAUGAUGCUAGUG
This 696-nucleotide ribosomal RNA is filed under the name Lactiplantibacillus plantarum. Its description in RNAcentral is "bacterial SSU rRNA". It matches the Rfam family "Bacterial small subunit ribosomal RNA", at positions 131 to 821 of the family's 1533-position model. The record is from RNAcentral. Lineage: Bacteria; Bacillati; Bacillota; Bacilli; Lactobacillales; Lactobacillaceae.